Molossus molossus (Pallas's mastiff bat) is the source of this 786-nucleotide long non-coding RNA. RefSeq lists it as uncharacterized. The transcript has 6 exons. NCBI's taxonomy places the organism in Eukaryota, Metazoa, Chordata, Mammalia, Chiroptera, Molossidae. The record is from RefSeq and is a predicted model, not a curated record.
ACCGGAAGGCAUAUUGGGGUUUUCCAUCUCAUUCUUGCCUCCACCCUGAGGAAGGGAAGCUGGUGCGACAAGACUCGGGAGUGGGCUCCUUCCAGGUUUAGUGGUGCCUGCCACCAGAGGAACGCCCCAAGUCCAGGUGGCAAGAUGGAGCUGGUGGCUUGGGCCGAAGUUGUCCCAUAAACCUGGAUGCCGGAUCUGAUGUGGUAACCCUAUGAGGAGGGCUUUCUGGACUGGCGCCCCAGCCAACCAGUAGGACAUUCUUCGUGUAGACGGAGCGAUUCCAGAGCUUCUGCCACCCGUUUGCCUAUAGCUCAGGAGAAACAGAAGCCAUGGGGAGAAAACUUCCUACGGCUCCCAUCAUUUCACCUGCGUGCUCCACCUUCCUCGAGGGACUCCUCCUGCUCCUGCCCAAGUUCAUUCUUUACACAGAAGCCAAAGAAGGACAGUCCCUCAUCCUCCGCUCGGAUCGUCAGUGGUCUCCCAUCUUGUGGAGGGAAGGACCUGAGGAGGCUCCAGAAUGAAAGCUGUAUGGCAGCGGGACCUCUGUCCCCGUCAGUGAGCACAGUGCCUGCCACGUGGUUUUCAGGGCUGCCAUGGAAGGUCGUGAAGGUUAUUCACGGCUCCAGAGCUCCAGGCUGCAGUGGGUGCUGACAUCUAGCCUGCUCUCUGCUGUCCGUGCUGUGCGGCACCCAACAGGUUGUCCUCUGCUACAUUCUAAUGCAUGCCUGUGGGCUGGCUGCGGCUCUGUGUUGGGUGUUCAGUAAAUACUCAUGGAAUAAAUGACUG